AUGAACGCUGGCGGCGUGCCUAAUACAUGCAAGUCGAGCGAACAGACGAGGAGCUUGCUCCUCUGACGUUAGCGGCGGACGGGUGAGUAACACGUGGAUAACCUACCUAUAAGACUGGGAUAACUUCGGGAAACCGGAGCUAAUACCGAAUAAUAUAUUGAACCGCAUGGUUCAAUAGUGAAAGACGGUUUUGCUGUCACUUAUAGAUGGAUCCGCGCCGCAUUAGCUAGUUGGUAAGGUAACGGCUUACCAAGGCAACGAUGCGUAGCCGACCUGAGAGGGUGAUCGGCCACACUGGAACUGAGACACGGUCCAGACUCCUACGGGAGGCAGCAGUAGGGAAUCUUCCGCAAAGGGCGAAAGCCUGACGGAGCAACGCCGCGUGAGUGAUGAAGGUCUUCGGAUCGUAAAACUCUGUUAUUAGGGAAGAACAAAUGUGUAAGUAACUAUGCACGUCUUGACGGUACCUAAUCAGAAAGCCACGGCUAACUACGUG
This 496-nucleotide ribosomal RNA is filed under the name uncultured bacterium. Its description in RNAcentral is "partial 16S ribosomal RNA". It matches the Rfam family "Bacterial small subunit ribosomal RNA", at positions 29 to 507 of the family's 1533-position model. The record is from RNAcentral.